UACGGGGGGGGCAAGCGUUGUUCGGAAUUACUGGGCGUAAAGGGCUCGUAGGUGGCCAACUAAGUCAGACGUGAAAUCCCUCGGCUUAACCGGGGAACUGCGUCUGAUACUGGAUGGCUUGAGUUCGGGAGAGGGAUGCGGAAUUCCAGGUGUAGCGGUGAAAUGCGUAGAUAUCUGGAGGAACACCGAUGGCGAAGGCAGCCUUCUGGGCCAACACUGACGCUCAUGCACGAAAGCGUGGGGAGCAAACAGG
RNAcentral lists this ribosomal RNA (253 nucleotides) under uncultured bacterium. Its description in RNAcentral is "partial 16S ribosomal RNA". It matches the Rfam family "Bacterial small subunit ribosomal RNA", at positions 524 to 776 of the family's 1533-position model. The record is from RNAcentral.